Molecule: ribosomal RNA, 301 nt
Filed under: uncultured bacterium
Lineage: Bacteria
Description: partial 16S ribosomal RNA
Rfam family: Bacterial small subunit ribosomal RNA
Source: RNAcentral
CAGUCGCCGCGGGAAUACGUAGGGUGCAAGCGUUAAUCGGAAUUACUGGGCGUAAAGCGUGCGCAGGCGGCUCUAUAAGACAGAUGUGAAAUCCCCGGGCUCAACCUGGGAACUGCAUUUGUGACUGUAGAGCUCGAGUACGGUAGAGGGGGAUGGAAUUCCGCGUGUAGCAGUGAAAUGCGUAGAUAUGCGGAGGAACACCGAUGGCGAAGGCAAUCCCCUGGACCUGUACUGACGCUCAUGCACGAAAGCGUGGGGAGCAAACAGGAUUAGAUACCCCGGUAGUCCCUGUCUCUUAUAC